AUGGACGAGCUUGGCUUCUCAGCCAGUACUCUGCUCAUCAACAGUUUGAUGUCCCUUUGCAUGAAGUUAGGCCAACAUCACAAGAUUCGUAGCCUUUUUGAGGAGAUGAAGGAUGGAAUUGGAUCCAGACUUGGUAGUUUGAAAUUAUUCUCUGUCGAAUCUAGCAAUGAUCUUUUGGUCUCAUGGAGCUGGCAAUUGAUAGGCCAUAUGGACGGGGCAAAUGUUGAUGAAUACAACACAGAGAAUAUACCCUUAGCUGACAAUCUUGACCAUAGUUACUCAAUGGGUCCAGACGACAAGGGGGGCAACAACACAUCAGAUUGGUCUAGUGAUGCUUCUUUGCCGGCCCCUAGUAAUCUCACACUGGUUUAUGCCACAGAUGUACCACAAAGUUCAAAUGGAAAAGUUAAGGAUUGUGAGCGAGAAAGUGGAGAGAAAAAAGUGCCAGUGAGCUCGGAGAACUUAACCCUGUUUGGAUCCGGUUGGGAAUGGGUAAAUCUUGCUAAGCAACUACGAGAGCGCAACAGAACUAAGCUGAUGGGGAUGCGAGAAACUACCAAAGACGACACCUGGUCGACAAAGAUGGAUGCGAGUUCUGGUCUAACUUCAUUUUGCAAGGGCCACUGA
RNAcentral lists this ribosomal RNA (627 nucleotides) under Triticum aestivum (bread wheat). RNAcentral describes it as "partial small subunit ribosomal RNA". Lineage: Eukaryota; Viridiplantae; Streptophyta; Magnoliopsida; Poales; Poaceae. The record is from RNAcentral.